Triticum aestivum (bread wheat) is the source of this 135-nucleotide non-coding RNA. The record is from Rfam. Lineage: Eukaryota; Viridiplantae; Streptophyta; Magnoliopsida; Poales; Poaceae.
AUCAUACUCCCUCCAUCACAAAAUUCUUAUCUUAGAUUUGUCGAAAUACGGAUGUAUCCAGUCAUGUUUUAGUAUGAGAUACAUCUGUAUCUAGACAAAUCUAAGACAAGAAUUUUGGGACGGAGGGAGUAUAAA